GUUGAUAAGGUUAAGUGAAUAAGGGCGCACGGUGGAUGCCUUGGCACUAGGAGCCGAUGAAGGACGGGACUAACACCGAUAUGCUUUGGGGAGCUGUACGUAAGCUAUGAUCCAGAGAUUUCCGAAUGGGGGAACCCAACAUCUUUAAUAGGAUGUUACGAUUGUGUGAAUACAUAGCACAUUCGAGGUAGACGCAGAGAACUGAAACAUCUAAGUACCUGCAGGAAGAGAAAGAAAAUUCGAUUCCCUGAGUAGCGGCGAGCGAAACGGGAAAAGCCCAAACCAGCAAGCUUGCUUGUUGGGGUU
Molecule: ribosomal RNA, 306 nt
Filed under: Enterococcus faecium
Lineage: Bacteria; Bacillati; Bacillota; Bacilli; Lactobacillales; Enterococcaceae
Description: partial 23S ribosomal RNA
Rfam family: Bacterial large subunit ribosomal RNA
Source: RNAcentral